Molecule: ribosomal RNA, 253 nt
Filed under: uncultured bacterium
Lineage: Bacteria
Description: partial 16S ribosomal RNA
Rfam family: Bacterial small subunit ribosomal RNA
Source: RNAcentral
UACGAAGGGGGCGAGCGUUGUUCGGAAUUACUGGGCGUAAAGGGCGCGUAGGCGGUGUGUCAAGUCAGGCGUGAAAGCCCCGGGCUCAACCUGGGGACUGCGCUUGAUACGGCGGGGCUUGAGGACUGGAGAGGAGACUGGAAUUUACGGUGUAGCGGUGAAAUGCGUAGAUAUCGUAAGGAAGACCAGUGGCGAAGGCGGGUCUCUGGACAGUUCCUGACGCUGAGGCACGAAGGCCAGGGGAGCAAACGGG